AUUGAACGCUGGCGGCAGGCCUAACACAUGCAAGUCGAACGGUAGCACAGAGAGCUUGCUCUCGGGUGACGAGUGGCGGACGGGUGAGUAACGUCUGGGAAACUGCCCGAUGGAGGGGGAUAACUACUGGAAACGGUAGCUAAUACCGCAUAACGUCGCAAGACCAAAGUGGGGGACCUUCGGGCCUCACACCAUCGGAUGUGCCCAGAUGGGAAUUAGCUAGUAGGUGGGGUAAUGGCUCACCUAGGCGACGAUCCCUAGCUGGUCUGAGAGGAUGACCAGCCACACUGGAACUGCGACACGGUCCAGACUCCUACGGGAGGCAGCAGUGGGGAAUAUUGCACAAUGGGCGCAAGCCUGAUUCAGCCAUGCCGCGUGUAUGAAGAAGGCCUUCGGGUUGUAAAGUACUUUCAGCGGGGAGGAAGGCGGUGAAGUUAAUAGCUUCACCGAUUGACGUUACCCGCAGAAGAAGCACCGGCUAACUCCGUGCCAGCCGCCGCGGUAA
This 505-nucleotide ribosomal RNA is filed under the name uncultured bacterium. Its description in RNAcentral is "partial 16S ribosomal RNA". It matches the Rfam family "Bacterial small subunit ribosomal RNA", at positions 30 to 523 of the family's 1533-position model. The record is from RNAcentral.